CCCGAUUCCAUCUCGAACUCGGAAGUUAAGCUCUCCAGCGCCGAUGGUACUGCGACCGAGAGGUCGUGGGAGAGUAGGUCGCUGCCAACC
RNAcentral lists this ribosomal RNA (90 nucleotides) under Bradymonadaceae bacterium TMQ3. The record is from RNAcentral. RNAcentral also lists the same sequence under 1 other name. Lineage: Bacteria; Deltaproteobacteria; Bradymonadales; Bradymonadaceae.